AGUGAACGCUGGCGGUAGGCCUAACACAUGCAAGUCGAGCGGCAGCACAGUAAGAGCUUGCUCUUACGGGUGGCGAGUGGCGGACGGGUGAGGAAUACAUCGGAAUCUACUUUUUCGUGGGGGAUAACGUAGGGAAACUUACGCUAAUACCGCAUACGACCUACGGGUGAAAGCAGGGGAUCUUCGGACCUUGCGCGAUUGAAUGAGCCGAUGUCGGAUUAGCUAGUUGGCGGGGUAAAGGCCCACCAAGGCGACGAUCCGUAGCUGGUCUGAGAGGAUGAUCAGCAACACUGGAACUGAGACACGGUCCAGACUCCUACGGGAGGCAGCAGUGGGGAAUAUUGGACAAUGGGCGCAAGCCUGAUCCAGCCAUACCGCGUGGGUGAAGAAGGCCUUCGGGUUGUAAAGCCCUUUUGUUGGGAAAGAAAAGCAGCAGGUUAAUACCCCGCUGUUCUGACGGUACCCAAAGAAUAAGCACCGGCUAACUUCGUG
Molecule: ribosomal RNA, 492 nt
Filed under: uncultured bacterium
Lineage: Bacteria
Description: partial 16S ribosomal RNA
Rfam family: Bacterial small subunit ribosomal RNA
Source: RNAcentral